Long non-coding RNA from Dendrobium catenatum, 437 nucleotides. RefSeq lists it as uncharacterized. The transcript is spliced from 3 exons. The record is from RefSeq and is a predicted model, not a curated record. Lineage: Eukaryota; Viridiplantae; Streptophyta; Magnoliopsida; Asparagales; Orchidaceae.
UAGCUACUGCAUUCUCUCUCAUACUUAUUAGUGAGGCCAACCUCUCUCCUUUUUCCUCUCUUUAUGCAAUUCAUAUUGCUACUUAUAAACUCAUUUAUACUUGUUGAAAUGAAGAAUUAAAGGCUAGUUUUGUGUUGUUGCAAUGAAGAGUGAAGAGGGGGUUGGUGGCUAAGCUCAUCCUUGAAAGAAUUUGGCGAUUCCUCGAACUUGUUAUUUUAGUGAGUGGUACAUUGAGUUGGAAAAAUAGAUAGGAGACUCAAUGCCAAGAAUGAUGAAAGAAGGAAUUCUUGCAGCAUCUCUAAGGGGAGAGCUUACAGCAAUGGCAAGGCCUAUCUGCACUGAGAUGAAGAGGACACCAAAGAAGGCAGAAAGACAAGCAACGAAAUCAAGCUUAUCCACUUUCCAUAAGCGCAUUGCUGAACUAAAAUCGAUCAGGC